RNAcentral lists this unclassified non-coding RNA (709 nucleotides) under Hevea brasiliensis (rubber tree). The record is from RNAcentral. Lineage: Eukaryota; Viridiplantae; Streptophyta; Magnoliopsida; Malpighiales; Euphorbiaceae.
GGAGCUUCAUUUUACAUAGCCAUAACCCAAAGAUAUACACAAGAUAUUCUAUACAAACAUACAACAAAUUAAUAUGCAGCACAGCAGCAAAAUUUAUUACCAAGUUUCAAUAAUUUGCCUCACUCUCAGGUUUGCAAAGCUCAAAUAUGUCUUAGUGUGCUGUAAGAGGCACUCCUACUCUUUCAGUAACACUCUUGAUGUACUCCUUCCUUGCUGGAUGAUCUUCUUGUGGUCGAUUGUAAGGCGUCCACACCGGCUCUCCCACAAACAACCUCAUCAACUUGACAUAGUUAUCAGUAUCUAGGGUGAACCGGUGGUAAAUCCCAGCAGGCAAGACAAUCAUAUCACCGGCCUUCAUCCAGAUGCGAAUCCAGCGAUCAUCCUUGUCUCUCACAUCAAAAUAUCCACUCCCUUCCAGACAGUAACGUAUCUCCUCAUCUGCGUGUAUGUGCUCUGUAUAGAAAUUUUUCAACUUCUGCUCAUAGUUAUCCACCUUCUCUGGGCACAAAUCCAGCAAGUCCAUGUAGCUGUAGCCUCUACUUUGACGAAUUUUUUUCAAUUCUUCAUCGUUCUCGUAAUCAUCAGGGUUCAAUUUCCAGUAUAAAACUCCGAUUUCUGCUAAUUUCUCCACUGAAACAAACUCCGGUGGGUUCUUCCGUUGCGGUAGCCGCUGAUCUUCUGAAUUUUCAUCCAUAAACCAUGCCUCGAU